AGUGAACGCUGGCGGUAGGCCUAACACAUGCAAGUCGAACGGCAGCACAGUAAGGGCUUGCUCUUACGGGUGGCGAGUGGCGGACGGGUGAGGAAUACAUCGGAAUCUACUUUUUCGUGGGGGAUAACGUAGGGAAACUUACGCUAAUACCGCAUACGACCUACGGGUUAAAGCAGGUGAUCUUCGGACCUUGCGCGAUUGAAUGAGCCGAUGUUGGAUUAGCUAGUUGUCGGGGUAAAGGCCCACCAAGGCGACGAUCCGUAGCUGGUCUGAGAGGAUGAUCGGCCACACUGGAAGUGAGACACGGUCCAGACUCCUACGGGAGGCAGCCGUGGGGGAUGUGGGACGAUGGGCGCAAGCCUGAUCCAGCCAUACCGGGUGGGUGAAGAAGGCCUUCGGGUUGUAAAGCCCUUUUGUUGGGAAGGAAAAGCAGCAGGUUAAUACCCCGCUGUUCUGACGGUACCCAAAGAAUAAGCGCCGGCUAACUUCGUG
Molecule: ribosomal RNA, 492 nt
Filed under: uncultured bacterium
Lineage: Bacteria
Description: partial 16S ribosomal RNA
Rfam family: Bacterial small subunit ribosomal RNA
Source: RNAcentral